AUCAUGCCACUGCACUCCAGCCUGGGGGACAGUGCAAGACUCCGUCUCGAAUAAAAAAAAAUACUGACAUGAGUGCAAAAAGCAGGUAUAGAUUAAGUUUUCAUAAAUAUAUUACUGACUUGUGAUCAAGAGAAUAUUGUCAGACUUAAGAAAGUAGAAGUCAACACAAUACUAAGCAGCAAUUUAAUAGAGUGCUAAUCUAAUCAGAAAAGGCUUCCAAAAUUCUGCCGAGAAAGAGAAUAACAUUUUUUGAAGCACAUGAUAUUCGCUUGGAGGAGAAAGAAACAGCUUUUUGUUAUUUUUUGCUGUCUUAGAUCACGCUGAGUUUUUACUGCAAGAAACCUAUGAAAAGUACCCAUUACUAAUAGCACUCAGCAAAGGUGAUCUACCCCAACCAGACAAAGCUGUGUGCCAUUUCCAAGAUGUUGCUGGCACUCGAACUUUCACUCAAGGUGUCUUACAUACCUUCUCCUCACUCUCAUUCAGAAUGUGCUUCCACAUUCUAUGCGCUCAGACUUCAAAAUCUCACCAACUUCAACAUCCAGGAGAAUAGAAGAGAUGGAAAUAAAGGAGGCAAGAAUGGUUUACAGAUCCAGCUGAAACCGAAUGGAAGGAAAGGCAGUGGAUUUCAUCAAGAUCCUACAGACAAGGUGUAAGAUCUGUAAUUUCGAAAGGACAUAUACACAAACUCAUUCAGCCACAUUCCAGUCUAGAAUUAACAUGAAGAAAAUCUAUUAACAAUGGUAAAGCUUUUUUCCUCUCCAAAUGAAUAUGGCAAUACCCAUUCUGGAGAACUCUUAUUCUCUGUUGAAAUAACACCACUUUUCUAUAUGGCCAUCUAGCAAUAAAUAUAAAAAUGGUUAAUUUGCAUA
This 872-nucleotide long non-coding RNA is filed under the name Homo sapiens (human). Its description in RNAcentral is "HSALNT0389346". Lineage: Eukaryota; Metazoa; Chordata; Mammalia; Primates; Hominidae. The record is from RNAcentral.